UACGUAGGGUGCGAGCGUUGCCCGGAUUUAUUGGGCGUAAAGGGCGCGUAGGCGGCCUGGCGCGUCGGCUGUGAAAUCUCCCGGCUCAACUGGGAGGGGACGGCCGAUACGGCUGGGCUUGAGCGAGGUAGGGGAGAGUGGAAUUCACGGUGUAGCAGUGAAAUGCGUAGAUAUCAGGAGGAACACCGGUGGCGAAGGCGGGUCUCUGGGCCGAUACUGACGCUGAGGAGCGAAAGCGUGGGGAGCGAACAGG
Molecule: ribosomal RNA, 253 nt
Filed under: uncultured bacterium
Lineage: Bacteria
Description: partial 16S ribosomal RNA
Rfam family: Bacterial small subunit ribosomal RNA
Source: RNAcentral